Molecule: ribosomal RNA, 464 nt
Filed under: uncultured bacterium
Lineage: Bacteria
Description: partial 16S ribosomal RNA
Rfam family: Bacterial small subunit ribosomal RNA (bases 49-464)
Source: RNAcentral
GGGGGGGGGGGGGGGGGGGGUGGGGCGGGGGAGGGGGAGGGGGGGGGGCCGGUGGGGGUACUCGAGUGGCGAGCGGGGGAGUAACACGUGAGUAACCUGCCCUUGACUUCGGGGUAACUUCGGGAAACUGGGGCUACUACCGGAUAGGAAUCCUUGCUGCAUGGUGGGGGUUGGAAAGGUUCGGCGGUGUUGGAUGGACUCGCGGCUUAUCAGCUUGUUGGUGGGGUAGUGGCUUACCAAGGCUUUGACGGGUAGCCGGCCUGAGAGGGCGACCGGCCACAUUGGGACUGAGAGACGGGCCAGACUCCUACGGGAGGCAGCAGGGGGGAAUAUUGCACAAUGGGCGGAAGCCUGAUGCAGCAACGCCGCGGGCGGGAGGACGGCCUUCGGGUUGUAAACCGCUUUCAGCAGGGGCGAAGCUUGUGGUGACGGUACCUGCAGAAGAAGCACCGGCUAACUACGUG